CGGCGGACGGGUGAGUAACGCGUGGGUAACCUGCCUCAUACAGGGGGAUAACAGUUGGAAACGACUGCUAAUACCGCAUAAGCGCACAGUACCGCAUGGUACAGUGUGAAAAACUCCGGUGGUAUGAGAUGGACCCGCGUCUGAUUAGCUAGUUGGUGGGGUAACGGCCUACCAAGGCGACGAUCAGUAGCCGACCUGAAAGGGUGACCGGCCACAUUGGGACUGAGGCACGGCCCAA
This 238-nucleotide ribosomal RNA is filed under the name uncultured bacterium. RNAcentral's name for it is "partial 16S ribosomal RNA". It matches the Rfam family "Bacterial small subunit ribosomal RNA", at positions 96 to 334 of the family's 1533-position model. The record is from RNAcentral.